UUAAAGUUGUUGCAGUUAAAAAGCUCGUAGUUGAACCUUGGGCCUGGCUGGCCGGUCCGCCUCACCGCGUGUACUGGUCCGGCCGGGCCUUUCCUUCUGGGGAGCCGCAUGCCCUUCACUGGGCGUGUCGGGGAACCAGGACUUUUACUUUGAAAAAAUUAGAGUGUUCAAAGCAGGCCUUUGCUCGAAUACAUUAGCAUGGAAUAAUA
This 209-nucleotide ribosomal RNA is filed under the name uncultured eukaryote. RNAcentral describes it as "partial 18S ribosomal RNA". It matches the Rfam family "Eukaryotic small subunit ribosomal RNA", at positions 604 to 819 of the family's 1831-position model. The record is from RNAcentral.